CGGAUGACCUGUGGAUCGGAGUGAAAGGCUAAUCAAGCUCGGAGAUAGCUGGUUCUCCUCGAAAGCUAUUUAGGUAGCGCCUCAUGUAUCACUGUAGGGGGUAGAGCACUGUUUCGGCUAGGGGGUCAUCCCGACUUACCAAACCGAUGCAAACUCCGAAUACCUACAAGUGCCGAGCAUGGGAGACACACGGCGGGUGCUAACGUCCGUCGUGAAAAGGGAAACAACCCAGACCGUCAGCUAAGGUCCCAAAGUCAUGGUUAAGUGGGAAACGAUGUGGGAAGGCUUAGACAGCUAGGAGGUUGGCUUAGAAGCAGCCACCCUUUAAAGAAAGCGUAAUAGCUCACUAGUCGAGUCGGCCUGCGCGGAAGAUGUAACGGGGCUAAAACUAUAUGCCGAAGCUGCGGAUUUGCAAUUUAUUGCAAGUGGUAGGGGAGCGUUCUGUAAGCCGAUGAAGGUGUAUUGAGAAGUAUGCUGGAGGUAUCAGAAGUGCGAAUGCUGACAUGAGUAACGACAAUGCGAGUGAAAAACUCGCACGCCGAAAGACCAAGGUUUCCUGCGCAACGUUAAUCGACGCAGGGUUAGUCGGUCCCUAAGGCGAGGCUGAAAAGCGUAGUCGAUGGAAAACAGGUUAAUAUUCCUGUACUUCCAGUUAUUGCGAUGGAGGGACGGAGAAGGCUAGGCCAGCUUGGCGUUGGUUGUCCAAGUUUAAGGUGGUAGGCUGAAAUCUUAGGCAAAUCCGGGAUUUCAAGGCCGAGAGCUGAUGACGAGUUGCCAUUAGGCGACGAAGUGGUUGAUGCCAUGCUUCCAAGAAAAGCUCCUAAGCUUCAGAUAACUGGGAACCGUACCCCAAACCGACACAGGUGGUUAGGUAGAGAAUACCAAGGCGCUUGAGAGAACUCGGGUGAAGGAACUAGGCAAAAUGGCACCGUAACUUCGGGAGAAGGUGCGCCGGUGAGGGUGAAGGACUUGCUCCGUAAGCUCAUGCCGGUCGAAGAUACCAGGCCGCUGCGACUGUUUAUUAAAAACACAGCACUCUGCAAACACGAAAGUGGACGUAUAGGGUGUGACGCCUGCCCGGUGCCGGAAGGUUAAUUGAUGGGGUUAGCGCAAGCGAAGCUCUUGAUCGAAGCCCCGGUAAACGGCGGCCGUAACAAUAACGGUCCUAAGGUAGCGAAAUUCCUUGUCGGGUAAGUUCCGACCUGCACGAAUGGCGUAACGAUGGCGGCGCUGUCUCCACCCGAGACUCAGUGAAAUUGAAAUCGCUGUGAAGAUGCAGUGUAUCCGCGGCUAGACGGAAAGACCCCGUGAACCUUUACUAUAGCUUUGCACUGGACUUUGAAUUUGCUUGUGUAGGAUAGGUGGGAGGCUUUGAAGUGGGGACGCCAGUUCUCAUGGAGCCAUCCUUGAAAUACCACCCUGGCAACUUUGAGGUUCUAACUCAGGUCCGUUAUCCGGAUCGAGGACAGUGUAUGGUGGGUAGUUUGACUGGGGCGGUCUCCUCCUAAAGAGUAACGGAGGAGUACGAAGGUGCGCUCAGCGUGGUCGGAAAUCACGCGUAGAGUAUAAAGGCAAAAGCGCGCUUAACUGCGAGACCCACAAGUCGAGCAGGUACGAAAG
Molecule: ribosomal RNA, 1620 nt
Filed under: Ephemera danica
Lineage: Eukaryota; Metazoa; Arthropoda; Insecta; Ephemeroptera; Ephemeridae
Description: bacterial LSU rRNA
Rfam family: Bacterial large subunit ribosomal RNA
Source: RNAcentral